RNAcentral lists this ribosomal RNA (2924 nucleotides) under Escherichia coli O139:H28 str. E24377A. RNAcentral describes it as "bacterial LSU rRNA". It matches the Rfam family "Bacterial large subunit ribosomal RNA". Lineage: Bacteria; Pseudomonadati; Pseudomonadota; Gammaproteobacteria; Enterobacterales; Enterobacteriaceae. The record is from RNAcentral.
GAAACAUCUUCGGGUUGUGAGGUUAAGCGACUAAGCGUACACGGUGGAUGCCCUGGCAGUCAGAGGCGAUGAAGGACGUGCUAAUCUGCGAUAAGCGUCGGUAAGGUGAUAUGAACCGUUAUAACCGGCGAUUUCCGAAUGGGGAAACCCAGUGUGAUUCGUCACACUAUCAUUAACUGAAUCCAUAGGUUAAUGAGGCGAACCGGAGGAACUGAAACAUCUAAGUACCCCGAGGAAAAGAAAUCAACCGAGAUUCCCCCAGUAGCGGCGAGCGAACGGGGAGGAGCCCAGAGCCUGAAUCAGUGUGUGUGUUAGUGGAAGCGUCUGGAAAGGCGCGCGAUACAGGGUGACAGCCCCGUACACAAAAAUGCACAUGCUGUGAGCUCGAUGAGUAGGGCGGGACACGUGGUAUCCUGUCUGAAUAUGGGGGGACCAUCCUCCAAGGCUAAAUACUCCUGACUGACCGAUAGUGAACCAGUACCGUGAGGGAAAGGCGAAAAGAACCCCGGCGAGGGGAGUGAAAAAGAACCUGAAACCGUGUACGUACAAGCAGUGGGAGCACGCUUAGGCGUGUGACUGCGUACCUUUUGUAUAAUGGGUCAGCGACUUAUAUUCUGUAGCAAGGUUAACCGAAUAGGGGAGCCGAAGGGAAACCGAGUCUUAACUGGGCGUUAAGUUGCAGGGUAUAGACCCGAAACCCGGUGAUCUAGCCAUGGGCAGGUUGAAGGUUGGGUAACACUAACUGGAGGACCGAACCGACUAAUGUUGAAAAAUUAGCGGAUGACUUGUGGCUGGGGGUGAAAGGCCAAUCAAACCGGGAGAUAGCUGGUUCUCCCCGAAAGCUAUUUAGGUAGCGCCUCGUGAAUUCAUCUCCGGGGGUAGAGCACUGUUUCGGCAAGGGGGUCAUCCCGACUUACCAACCCGAUGCAAACUGCGAAUACCGGAGAAUGUUAUCACGGGAGACACACGGCGGGUGCUAACGUCCGUCGUGAAGAGGGAAACAACCCAGACCGCCAGCUAAGGUCCCAAAGUCAUGGUUAAGUGGGAAACGAUGUGGGAAGGCCCAGACAGCCAGGAUGUUGGCUUAGAAGCAGCCAUCAUUUAAAGAAAGCGUAAUAGCUCACUGGUCGAGUCGGCCUGCGCGGAAGAUGUAACGGGGCUAAACCAUGCACCGAAGCUGCGGCAGCGACGCUUAUGCGUUGUUGGGUAGGGGAGCGUUCUGUAAGCCUGUGAAGGUGUGCUGUGAGGCAUGCUGGAGGUAUCAGAAGUGCGAAUGCUGACAUAAGUAACGAUAAAGCGGGUGAAAAGCCCGCUCGCCGGAAGACCAAGGGUUCCUGUCCAACGUUAAUCGGGGCAGGGUGAGUCGACCCCUAAGGCGAGGCCGAAAGGCGUAGUCGAUGGGAAACAGGUUAAUAUUCCUGUACUUGGUGUUACUGCGAAGGGGGGACGGAGAAGGCUAUGUUGGCCGGGCGACGGUUGUCCCGGUUUAAGCGUGUAGGCUGGUUUUCCAGGCAAAUCCGGAAAAUCAAGGCUGAGGCGUGAUGACGAGGCACUACGGUGCUGAAGCAACAAAUGCCCUGCUUCCAGGAAAAGCCUCUAAGCAUCAGGUAACAUCAAAUCGUACCCCAAACCGACACAGGUGGUCAGGUAGAGAAUACCAAGGCGCUUGAGAGAACUCGGGUGAAGGAACUAGGCAAAAUGGUGCCGUAACUUCGGGAGAAGGCACGCUGAUAUGUAGGUGAAGCGACUUGCUCGUGGAGCUGAAAUCAGUCGAAGAUACCAGCUGGCUGCAACUGUUUAUUAAAAACACAGCACUGUGCAAACACGAAAGUGGACGUAUACGGUGUGACGCCUGCCCGGUGCCGGAAGGUUAAUUGAUGGGGUUAGCGCAAGCGAAGCUCUUGAUCGAAGCCCCGGUAAACGGCGGCCGUAACUAUAACGGUCCUAAGGUAGCGAAAUUCCUUGUCGGGUAAGUUCCGACCUGCACGAAUGGCGUAAUGAUGGCCAGGCUGUCUCCACCCGAGACUCAGUGAAAUUGAACUCGCUGUGAAGAUGCAGUGUACCCGCGGCAAGACGGAAAGACCCCGUGAACCUUUACUAUAGCUUGACACUGAACAUUGAGCCUUGAUGUGUAGGAUAGGUGGGAGGCUUUGAAGUGUGGACGCCAGUCUGCAUGGAGCCGACCUUGAAAUACCACCCUUUAAUGUUUGAUGUUCUAACGUUGACCCGUAAUCCGGGUUGCGGACAGUGUCUGGUGGGUAGUUUGACUGGGGCGGUCUCCUCCUAAAGAGUAACGGAGGAGCACGAAGGUUGGCUAAUCCUGGUCGGACAUCAGGAAGUUAGUGCAAUGGCAUAAGCCAGCUUGACUGCGAGCGUGACGGCGCGAGCAGGUGCGAAAGCAGGUCAUAGUGAUCCGGUGGUUCUGAAUGGAAGGGCCAUCGCUCAACGGAUAAAAGGUACUCCGGGGAUAACAGGCUGAUACCGCCCAAGAGUUCAUAUCGACGGCGGUGUUUGGCACCUCGAUGUCGGCUCAUCACAUCCUGGGGCUGAAGUAGGUCCCAAGGGUAUGGCUGUUCGCCAUUUAAAGUGGUACGCGAGCUGGGUUUAGAACGUCGUGAGACAGUUCGGUCCCUAUCUGCCGUGGGCGCUGGAGAAUUGAGGGGGGCUGCUCCUAGUACGAGAGGACCGGAGUGGACGCAUCACUGGUGUUCGGGUUGUCAUGCCAAUGGCACUGCCCGGUAGCUAAAUGCGGAAGAGAUAAGUGCUGAAAGCAUCUAAGCACGAAACUUGCCCCGAGAUGAGUUCUCCCUGACUCCUUGAGAGUCCUGAAGGAACGUUGAAGACGACGACGUUGAUAGGCCGGGUGUGUAAGCGCAGCGAUGCGUUGAGCUAACCGGUACUAAUGAACCGUGAGGCUUAACCUU